Molecule: signal recognition particle RNA, 99 nt
Filed under: Pseudomonadota bacterium
Lineage: Bacteria; Pseudomonadati; Pseudomonadota
Also listed under: 1 other name
Description: signal recognition particle sRNA small type
Rfam family: Bacterial small signal recognition particle RNA
About the family: The signal recognition particle (SRP) is a universally conserved ribonucleoprotein involved in the co-translational targeting of proteins to membranes. Archaeal SRP consists of a 7S RNA and homologues of the eukaryotic SRP19 and SRP54 proteins. In most bacteria, the SRP consists of a 4.5S RNA and the Ffh protein (a homologue of the eukaryotic SRP54 protein).
Source: RNAcentral
GGCGGGCCUCCCCGCAUUGCAUAGUGGUGAACCUGGUCAGAUCCGGAAGGAAGCAGCCACAGCUAUUCUCUGUAAGUGCCGGGGGUUAGGCUCGCCACC